UACGUAGGGUGCGAGCGUUAAUCGGAAUUACUGGGCGUAAAGCGUGCGCAGGCGGUUUGUUAAGACAGAUGUGAAAUCCCCGGGCUUAACCUGGGAACUGCAUUUGUGACUGGCAAGCUAGAGUAUGGCAGAGGGGGUAGAAUUCCACGUGUAGCAGUGAAAUGCGUAGAGAUGUGGAGGAAUACCGAUGGCGAAGGCAGCCCCCUGGGCCAAUACUGACGCUCAUGCACGAAAGCGUGGGGAGCAACAGG
This 251-nucleotide ribosomal RNA is filed under the name uncultured bacterium. RNAcentral describes it as "partial 16S ribosomal RNA". It matches the Rfam family "Bacterial small subunit ribosomal RNA", at positions 524 to 775 of the family's 1533-position model. The record is from RNAcentral.